Molecule: ribosomal RNA, 466 nt
Filed under: uncultured bacterium
Lineage: Bacteria
Description: partial 16S ribosomal RNA
Rfam family: Bacterial small subunit ribosomal RNA
Source: RNAcentral
GACGAACGCUGGCGGCGUGCUUAACACAUGCAAGUCGAACGGAAAGGCCCUGCUUGCCGGGUACUCGAGUGGCGAACGGGUGAGUAACACGUGGGUGAUCUGCCCUGCACUUCGGGAUAAGCUUGGGAAACUGGGUCUAAUACCGGAUAGGAGCCAUCUUUAGUGUGGUGGUUGGAAAGUUUUUUCGGUGUAGGAUGAGCUCGCGGCCUAUCAGCUUGUUGGUGGGGUAAUGGCCUACCAAGGCGGCGACGGGUAGCCGGCCUGAGAGGGUGUACGGCCACAUUGGGACUGAGAUACGGCCCAGACUCCUACGGGAGGCAGCAGUGGGGAAUAUUGCACAAUGGGCGCAAGCCUGAUGCAGCGACGCCGCGUGGGGGAUGAAGGCCUUCGGGUUGCAAACUCCUUUCGCUAGGGACGAAGCGUUGUUGUGACGGUACCUAGAGAAGAAGCACCGGCUAACUACGUG